This 385-nucleotide ribosomal RNA is filed under the name uncultured bacterium. RNAcentral describes it as "bacterial SSU rRNA". It matches the Rfam family "Bacterial small subunit ribosomal RNA", at positions 355 to 732 of the family's 1533-position model. The record is from RNAcentral.
UGGGGAAUUUUGGACAAUGGGCGCAAGCCUGAUCCAGCAAUGCCGCGUGCAGGAAGAAGGCCUUCGGGUUGUAAACUGCUUUUGUCAGGGAAGAAAUCCUGUGGGUUAAUACCCCGUGGGGAUGACGGUACCUGAAGAAUAAGCACCGGCUAACUACGUGCCAGCAGCCGCGGUAAUACGUAGGGUGCGAGCGUUAAUCGGAAUUACUGGGCGUAAAGCGUGCGCAGGCGGUUGUGCAAGACAGGUGUGAAAUCCCCGGGCUUAACCUGGGAACUGCACUUGUGACUGCACGGCUAGAGUACGGUAGAGGGGGAUGGAAUUCCGCGUGUAGCAGUGAAAUGCGUAGAUAUGCGGAGGAACACCGAUGGCGAAGGCAAUCCCCUGG